This 1268-nucleotide ribosomal RNA is filed under the name uncultured bacterium. RNAcentral's name for it is "bacterial SSU rRNA". The record is from RNAcentral.
GMAAGUCGAACGGAACCUUCGGGUUUAGUGGCGAACGGGUGAGUAAUGCCUAGGAAUCUGCCUAUUAGUGGGGGAUAACGAAUCGAAAGGUUCGCUAAUACCGCAUACGUCCUACGGGAGAAAGAGGGGGAUCUUCGGACCUCUUGCUAAUAGAUGAGCCUAGGUCGGAUUAGCUMGUUGGUGAGGUAAAGGCUCACCAAGGCGACGAUCUGUAGCUGGUCUGAGAGGAUGGCCAGCCACACUGGAACUGAGACACGGUCCAGACUCCUACGGGAGGCAGCAGUGGGGAAUAUUGGACAAUGGGCGCAAGCCUGAUCCAGCCAUGCCGCGUGUGUGAAGAAGGCCCUCGGGUUGUAAAGCACUUUAAGCGAGGAGGAAGGCCAUCAUACUAAUAUUAUGAUGAAUUGACGUUACUCGYWGAAUAAGCACCGGCUAACUCUGUGCCAGCAGCCGCGGUAAUACAGAGGGUGCAAGCGUUAAUCGGAAUUACUGGGCGUAAAGCGCGCGUAGGCGGUUUGUUAAGUCGGAUGUGAAAUCCCUGGGCUCAACCUAGGCACUGCAUCCGAUACUGGCUGACUAGAGUGUGGGAGAGGAAGGUAGAAUUCCAGGUGUAGCGGUGAAAUGCGUAGAGAUCUGGAGGAAUACCGAUGGCGAAGCAGCCUUCUGGCUAACACUGACGCUGAGGUGCGAAAGCAUGGGGAGCAACAGGAUUAGAUACCUGGUAGUCCAUGCUGUAACGAUGUCAACUAGCCGUGGGUCUUUAAGACUUAGUGGCGUAGCUAACGCGAUAAGUUGACCGCCUGGGGAGUACGGUCGCAGACUAAACUCAAAUGAAUUGACGGGGGCCGCACAACGUGGAGCAUGUGGUUUAAUUCGAUGCAACGCGAAGACCUUACCUGGCCUGACAUGUCUGGAAUCUUGUAGAGAUACGAGAGUGCCUUCGGGAAUCAGAACACAGGUGCUGCAUGGCUGUCGUCAGCUCGCGUCGUGAGAUGUUGGGUUAAGUCCCGCAACGAGCGCAACCCUUAUCCUUAUUUGCCAGCACGUAAUGGUGGGAACUCUAAGGAGACUGCCGGUGACAAACCGGAGGAAGGCGGGGACGACGUCAAGUCAUCAUGGCCCUUACGGCCAGGGCUACACACGUGCUACAAUGGUCGGUACAAAGGGUUGCUAACCUGCGAAGGGGUGCUAAUCUCAAAAAGCCGUUYGUAGUCCAGAUUGGAGUCUGCAACUCGACUCCAUGAAGUCGGAAUCGCUAGUAAUCGCAG